UGCUUCGGUAAACUUCCCUUCUGUUGUCAGCCGGUACGCUGCCUUGAGUUUCUCUUCCAACUGAGAGAAUUUGAAGACGAGUGCUGGUGGAGCCCUUACAUUAGGACUAGCAGACUCGCUCCAUCCCUUCUCAACAGCAAAUGAUAUCACUGGAGCCACAGCAAAAGCGGGUAGAUACGUAUGACUUCCCAUGUGUAGAUCCAUGAACAUUGGCUUCAACGGUUCGAAGUUCUUUAUACCUAGUUGUCGGCUAAGCAAGCGCAUUGCAGUGUCGAAAUUUCCAGCCGCUGCGUGCUCCCCGGCAAGAGAUGAUUUCUGGAUCCAGAUUUGACUUACAGGCAUGCCUGGAGUAGGAGCAACGAAUACAAUAGCACGGCUAUGCCCUGGAGCUUUUGGUGUAUCCACAUCAGGUGGCAACUCCAAGUCUUCAAGCUCCCAUCCUCCUUCCUCGUCAUUCCCAACGUUUUCUUCAUCGUCCUCAACUUCUAUUUGAACAUCUCCG
This 502-nucleotide unclassified non-coding RNA is filed under the name Hevea brasiliensis (rubber tree). The record is from RNAcentral. Lineage: Eukaryota; Viridiplantae; Streptophyta; Magnoliopsida; Malpighiales; Euphorbiaceae.